UACGGGGGGGGCAAGCGUUGUUCGGAAUUACUGGGCGUAAAGGGCUCGUAGGCGGCCAACUAAGUCGGAUGUGAAAUCCCCAGGCUUAACCUGGGAACUGCAUCCGAUACUGGAUGGCUUGAAUCCGGGAGGAGGGAUGCAGAAUUCCAGGUGUAGCGGUGAAAUGCGUAGAUAUCUGGAGGAAUACCGGUGGCGAAGGCGGCAUCCUGGACCGGCAUUGACGCUGAUGAGCGAAAGCUAAGGGGAGCAAACGGGG
Molecule: ribosomal RNA, 256 nt
Filed under: uncultured bacterium
Lineage: Bacteria
Description: partial 16S ribosomal RNA
Rfam family: Bacterial small subunit ribosomal RNA
Source: RNAcentral